This 301-nucleotide ribosomal RNA is filed under the name uncultured bacterium. RNAcentral's name for it is "partial 16S ribosomal RNA". It matches the Rfam family "Bacterial small subunit ribosomal RNA", at positions 509 to 807 of the family's 1533-position model. The record is from RNAcentral.
CAGCAGCCACGGUAAAACAGAGGGUGCGAGCGUUAAUCGGAUUUACUGGGCGUAAAGCGUGCGUAGGCGGCUUUUUAAGUCGGAUGUGAAAUCCCUGAGCUUAACUUAGGAAUUGCAUUCGAUACUGGGAAGCUAGAGUAUGGGAGAGGAUGGUAGAAUUCCAGGUGUAGCGGUGAAAUGCGUAGAGAUCUGGAGGAAUACCGAUGGCGAAGGCAGCCAUCUGGCCUAAUACUGACGCUGAGGUACGAAAGCAUGGGGAGCAAACAGGAUUAGAUACCCCCGUAGUCCCUGUCUCUUAUAC